This is an RNA transcript of Eucalyptus grandis, 1971 nucleotides long. It is a transcript of the gene named 2-(3-amino-3-carboxypropyl)histidine synthase subunit 1, with no coding region annotated. NCBI's taxonomy places the organism in Eukaryota, Viridiplantae, Streptophyta, Magnoliopsida, Myrtales, Myrtaceae. The transcript is spliced from 3 exons. The record is from RefSeq and is a predicted model, not a curated record.
GCAAAUUCGAUCUCUGCUCCGAGGCCGAACUGAAGGUGAGACCGAGCGAACUUGGGCCGUGAGCGCAGCCAUGGCCACGGCCGCGGACGGCGGCGGCGCCACCGCCGGCGACGGCGGAGCGGCGGUGAGGCCAGCGAGGCCGGCGCCGAAGCGGUUCACGAAGUCCCAGAUCCCGGACGCCAUCCUCAACAACGCCGCCCUCAACGCCGCCAUCGCCCUCCUCCCGGCGAACUACAGCUUCGAGGUCCACAAGUGCGUCGCCCGCAUCCUCGCCGCCGGCGCCAAGCGCGUGGCCCUCCAGCUCCCGGAGGGCCUCCUCAUGUACUCCCUCGUCCUCUCCGACAUCUUCGCCGCCUUCGCCGCCGUCGACCACUGCUUCGUCCUCGGCGACGUCACCUACGGCGCCUGCUGCGUCGACGACCUCGCCGCCCGCGCCCUCGGCGCCGACCUCCUCAUCCACUACGGCCACAGCUGCCUCGUCCCCGUCGACGCCACCGCCGUGCCUUGCCUCUACGUGUUCGUCGAGAUUCGGAUCGACGUCGCCCAUCUCGUGGAGACGCUGAAGCUGAACUUGGGCGGGGAGUGGUCGGACGUCGUGCUCGCCGGCACGAUCCAGUUCGCCGGCGCGAUUCGCGCGGCGAAGACCGAGCUCGAGGGCAGCAGGUUUAGGGUUUUGGUGCCGCAGGCGAAGCCGCUGUCGGCAGGUGAGGUUCUCGGCUGCACCGCGCCGAGGGUCCGGUCCGACUCGAACGAGGGGACGGUUGCGGUGUUCGUGGCGGACGGGAGGUUUCACUUGGAGGCUUUUAUGAUAGCGAAUCCGGGGAUUAAGACCUUCCGAUACGAUCCCUACAUGGGGAAGUUGUUUCUUGAGGAGUAUGAUCAAAAGGGGAUGAGGGAAUCGAGGCGGAACGCGAUAUUGAAGGCGCAGGAGUGCGCGAGGAGUUGGGGAAUCGUGUUGGGGACGCUCGGGAGGCAAGGUAAUCCGAGGAUUUUAGAGAGGUUGGAGAAGAAGAUGAGGGAAAAGGGCUUUGAUUACACGGUGGUUUUGAUGUCGGAGAUCACUCCUGGGAGGAUCGCUUUGUUUGAGGAUUCUGUGGAUGCUUGGAUUCAGAUAGCCUGUCCAAGGCUUUCCAUUGACUGGGGGGAUGCAUUUCAUAAGCCGGUAUUGACACCAUUCGAGGCGGAGAUCACUCUUGGUUUCAUUCCUGGGUGGUGGGAGAGAAAUUCAAAGACGAAUUCAGGUUGCGUAGCUGAUUCCGGUUGCAGCAAGGGCGACUCGGGAUGCGAAUGCGGGAGUAGUGUAGCUUCGAAGAGUGACGAUAUUGGAGAUUACCCGAUGGAUUAUUAUGCCCAGGACGGUGGGGAGUGGAAUUCUACUUAUGUGAAGAAGUCGUCCCGGCCUGCACAGAGGACUCUUGUGCCGUCUGCAGGCAGCAGUAGCAUAGCUUAGCAUCGGCUUUAGGUACUCUGAAACUGAUCGUGCCUUCACCAUUCUUGAGUCAUCUGCAUGGUGCCUCAUCCCAAAUUAUGAAAGCUGCUUCGUCAGGUGGCUCUGGUGAGAUACAAUUUCGGUCCGUUGGACAUGUACUAUCUUCAAAGAAGACAUCUAGUGUUAGAUUUUCUCUGGCCGUCCAAUAUUGCAAUCGAGCAAUUCAGAUAAGCACGAGGUUUUGAUUAAUUCCUCGCAACUGAAGAUUGGGAUGGCCAAGUAAUUCUACAUUCUUGCUGAGGAUAUCUUCUGAGAAAGUUCCCGGUUCUCCGACUGAAGAACAGUAGUUACCUCUCAACGGAAGCGUAGUGACAAGAGCCCAGUAUGCACCGCUCACUCUUACCCAUCAUGCAGUAGUCCUCUUUUCUGCCAAUGUCAAUUGCAGUGGUUUAAGGAUCUUGGACGUAGAACCAUGUUCAACGAGUGGAAUUCUGAGAUUAGUAACUUUCUUCCGAAUUUUAAUGAGCAUAAUCUUGUUAUUG